Molecule: ribosomal RNA, 294 nt
Filed under: uncultured prokaryote
Description: partial 16S ribosomal RNA
Rfam family: Bacterial small subunit ribosomal RNA
Source: RNAcentral
UAACGAAUAUUGGGCAAUGGGCGCAAGCCUGACCCAGCGACGCCGCGUGCAGGAGGAAGUCCUUCGGGAUGUAAACUGCUGUCAGGGGCUAGCAAGCAAAGGGUGUUAACAGCAUCCGGCGUUGAGCCGCCCCAGAGGAAGCCACGACUAACUCUGUGCCAGCAGUCGCGGUAAGACAGAGGUGGCAAGCGUUGUUCGGAAUCACUGGGCUUAAAGCGCGUGUAGGCGGCUCGGAAAGUGUCGUGUGAAAUCCCAGGGCCCAACCCUGGAACUGCGCGGGUAGGCGGCUCGGAA